This 204-nucleotide unclassified non-coding RNA is filed under the name uncultured Marasmiaceae. RNAcentral's name for it is "sequence contains ITS2". Lineage: Eukaryota; Fungi; Basidiomycota; Agaricomycetes; Agaricales. The record is from RNAcentral.
AAUUCUCAAAGCCCAGUCGGUUUUACAUCGAUCUGGGACUUUGGACUGUGAGGGUUGCUGGUCUUUGGAUCAGACUCCCUUUAAAUACAUUAGUGGUUACCGAUCCGCUUCCACUUGGUGUGAUAGUCUAUCUACGCCUUUGGAAUGAUCAGUUGUGAUCCGCUUUCGAACCGUCUGACCUUUUCGUCGGACAGCUCUUUGACA